RNAcentral lists this ribosomal RNA (2816 nucleotides) under Klebsiella pneumoniae. RNAcentral's name for it is "partial 23S ribosomal RNA". It matches the Rfam family "Bacterial large subunit ribosomal RNA". The record is from RNAcentral. Lineage: Bacteria; Pseudomonadati; Pseudomonadota; Gammaproteobacteria; Enterobacterales; Enterobacteriaceae.
GGUUAAGCGACUAAGCGUACACGGUGGAUGCCCUGGCAGUCAGAGGCGAUGAAGGACGUGCUAAUCUGCGAAAAGCGUCGGUAAGGUGAUAUGAACCGUUAUAACCGGCGAUGUCCGAAUGGGGAAACCCAGUGCAAUUCGUUGCACUAUCGUUAACUGAAUACAUAGGUUAACGAGGCGAACCGGGGGAACUGAAACAUCUAAGUACCCCGAGGAAAAGAAAUCAACCGAGAUUCCCCCAGUAGCGGCGAGCGAACGGGGAGCAGCCCAGAGUCUGAAUCAGCUUGUGUGUUAGUGGAACGGUCUGGAAAGUCCGACGGUACAGGGUGAUAGUCCCGUACACCAAAAUGCACAGGCUGUGAACUCGAAGAGUAGGGCGGGACACGUGGUAUCCUGUCUGAAUAUGGGGGGACCAUCCUCCAAGGCUAAAUACUCCUGACUGACCGAUAGUGAACCAGUACCGUGAGGGAAAGGCGAAAAGAACCCCGGCGAGGGGAGUGAAAAAGAACCUGAAACCGUGUACGUACAAGCAGUGGGAGCACCUUCGGGUGUGACUGCGUACCUUUUGUAUAAUGGGUCAGCGACUUAUAUUCUGUAGCAAGGUUAACCGUAUAGGGGAGCCGCAGGGAAACCGAGUCUUAACUGGGCGUUAAGUUGCAGGGUAUAGACCCGAAACCCGGUGAUCUAGCCAUGGGCAGGUUGAAGGUUGGGUAACACUAACUGGAGGACCGAACCGACUAAUGUUGAAAAAUUAGCGGAUGACUUGUGGCUGGGGGUGAAAGGCCAAUCAAACCGGGAGAUAGCUGGUUCUCCCCGAAAGCUAUUUAGGUAGCGCCUCGUGAAUUCAUCUUCGGGGGUAGAGCACUGUUUCGGCUAGGGGGUCAUCCCGACUUACCAACCCGAUGCAAACUACGAAUACCGAAGAAUGUUAUCACGGGAGACACACGGCGGGUGCUAACGUCCGUCGUGAAGAGGGAAACAACCCAGACCGCCAGCUAAGGUCCCAAAGUCAUGGUUAAGUGGGAAACGAUGUGGGAAGGCACAGACAGCCAGGAUGUUGGCUUAGAAGCAGCCAUCAUUUAAAGAAAGCGUAAUAGCUCACUGGUCGAGUCGGCCUGCGCGGAAGAUGUAACGGGGCUAAACCAUGCACCGAAGCUGCGGCAGCGACACUAUGUGUUGUUGGGUAGGGGAGCGUUCUGUAAGCCUGCGAAGGUGUGCUGUGAGGCAUGCUGGAGGUAUCAGAAGUGCGAAUGCUGACAUAAGUAACGAUAAAGCGGGUGAAAAGCCCGCUCGCCGGAAGACCAAGGGUUCCUGUCCAACGUUAAUCGGGGCAGGGUGAGUCGACCCCUAAGGCGAGGCCGAAAGGCGUAGUCGAUGGGAAACAGGUUAAUAUUCCUGUACUUGGUGUUACUGCGAAGGGGGGACGGAGAAGGCUAUGUUAGCCGGGCGACGGUUGUCCCGGUUUAAGCAUGUAGGCUGGUUGUCCAGGCAAAUCCGGAUAAUCAAGGCUGAGGUGUGAUGACGAGGCACUACGGUGCUGAAGUAACAAAUGCCCUGCUUCCAGGAAAAGCCUCUAAGCAUCAGGUAACAUCAAAUCGUACCCCAAACCGACACAGGUGGUCAGGUAGAGAAUACCAAGGCGCUUGAGAGAACUCGGGUGAAGGAACUAGGCAAAAUGGUGCCGUAACUUCGGGAGAAGGCACGCUGGUGUGUAGGUGAAGCCCCUGCGGGUGGAGCUGAGACCAGUCGAAGAUACCAGCUGGCUGCAACUGUUUAUUAAAAACACAGCACUGUGCAAACACGAAAGUGGACGUAUACGGUGUGACGCCUGCCCGGUGCCGGAAGGUUAAUUGAUGGGGUUAUCCGUAAGGAGAAGCUCUUGAUCGAAGCCCCGGUAAACGGCGGCCGUAACUAUAACGGUCCUAAGGUAGCGAAAUUCCUUGUCGGGUAAGUUCCGACCUGCACGAAUGGCGUAAUGAUGGCCAGGCUGUCUCCACCCGAGACUCAGUGAAAUUGAACUCGCUGUGAAGAUGCAGUGUACCCGCGGCAAGACGGAAAGACCCCGUGAACCUUUACUAUAGCUUGACACUGAACAUUGAGCCUUGAUGUGUAGGAUAGGUGGGAGGCUUUGAAGCGUGGACGCCAGUCUGCGUGGAGCCAACCUUGAAAUACCACCCUUUAAUGUUUGAUGUUCUAACGUUGGCCCCUGACCGGGGUUGCGGACAGUGUCUGGUGGGUAGUUUGACUGGGGCGGUCUCCUCCCAAAGCGUAACGGAGGAGCACGAAGGUUAGCUAAUCCUGGUCGGACAUCAGGAGGUUAGUGCAAUGGCAUAAGCUAGCUUGACUGCGAGCGUGACGGCGCGAGCAGGUGCGAAAGCAGGUCAUAGUGAUCCGGUGGUUCUGAAUGGAAGGGCCAUCGCUCAACGGAUAAAAGGUACUCCGGGGAUAACAGGCUGAUACCGCCCAAGAGUUCAUAUCGACGGCGGUGUUUGGCACCUCGAUGUCGGCUCAUCACAUCCUGGGGCUGAAGUAGGUCCCAAGGGUAUGGCUGUUCGCCAUUUAAAGUGGUACGCGAGCUGGGUUUAGAACGUCGUGAGACAGUUCGGUCCCUAUCUGCCGUGGGCGCUGGAGAAUUGAGGGGGGCUGCUCCUAGUACGAGAGGACCGGAGUGGACGCAUCACUGGUGUUCGGGUUGUCAUGCCAAUGGCACUGCCCGGUAGCUAAAUGCGGAAGAGAUAAGUGCUGAAAGCAUCUAAGCACGAAACUUGCCCCGAGAUGAGUUCUCCCUGAGACUUUAAGUCUCCUGAAGGAACGUU